CGGCGAACGGGUGAGUAACACGUAGGUGAUCUGCCCAUCAGACGGGGACAACGAUUGGAAACGAUCGCUAAUACCGGAUAGGACGAAAGUUUAAAGAUGCUCCUGGCAUCACUGAUGGAUGAGCCUGCGGCGCAUUAGCUAGUUGGUGGGGUAAAGGCCUACCAAGGCGACGAUGCGUAGCCGACCUGAGAGGGUGAACGGCCACACUGGGACUGAGACACGGCCCAGACUCCUACGGAAGGCAGCAG
RNAcentral lists this ribosomal RNA (248 nucleotides) under uncultured bacterium. Its description in RNAcentral is "partial 16S ribosomal RNA". It matches the Rfam family "Bacterial small subunit ribosomal RNA", at positions 96 to 354 of the family's 1533-position model. The record is from RNAcentral.